CGGGUGAGUAAUGUCUGGGAAACUGCCCGAUGGAGGGGGAUAACUACUGGAAACGGUAGCUAAUACCGCAUAACGUCGCAAGACCAAAGAGGGGGACCUUAGGGCCUCUUGCCAUCGGAUGUGCCCAGAUGGGAUUAGCUAGUAGGUGGGGUAAUGGCUCACCUAGGCGACGAUCCCUAGCUGGUCUGAGAGGAUGACCAGCCACACUGGAGCUGAGACACGGUCCAG
This 228-nucleotide ribosomal RNA is filed under the name uncultured bacterium. RNAcentral's name for it is "partial 16S ribosomal RNA". It matches the Rfam family "Bacterial small subunit ribosomal RNA", at positions 103 to 334 of the family's 1533-position model. The record is from RNAcentral.